GAUGAACGCUGGCGGUAUGCUUAACACAUGCAAGUCGAACGGUGCUUUAGGGCAUAGUGGCGGACGGGUGAGUAACGCGUGAGAAUCUGGCUUCAGGUUUGGGACAACCACUGGAAACGGUGGCUAAUACCGGAUAUGCCGAGAGGUGAAAGGCUUGCCGCCUGAAGAUGAGCUCGCGUCUGAUUAGCUAGUAGGUGUGGUAAAGGCGCACCUAGGCGACGAUCAGUAGCUGGUCUGAGAGGAUGAUCAGCCACACUGGGACUGAGACACGGCCCAGACUCCUACGGGAGGCAGCAGUGGGGAAUUUUCCGCAAUGGGCGAAAGCCUGACGGAGCAAUACCGCGUGAGGGAGGAAGGGCUCUUGGGUUGUAAACCUCUUUUCUCAGGGAGAAAAAAUGACGGUACCUGAGGGAAUAAGCAUCGGCUAACUCCGUGCCAGCAGCCGCGGUAAG
Molecule: ribosomal RNA, 452 nt
Filed under: uncultured bacterium
Lineage: Bacteria
Description: bacterial SSU rRNA
Rfam family: Bacterial small subunit ribosomal RNA
Source: RNAcentral